AUUUUUAUUCUUUCUGUAACCCUUGCCUAAAUAUACUACUCUGAGCCAUAAAAUCUGACUUGAGCGUCGGAGGGCCUCUGCCGGGGCACACCCGGUAGGCCCCUGACCAUUCUUUCUUAUUUUACAGGUCCUUUCACCAUGUAAAACAUGGAGAGACCCAUCAGGGAGCCCAGCAAGAAGGGACCCAGAAGAAAACCAGAUCUAUCAUGGACCAGGAAGAGGAAAAUAUUUAUCAAAUGGCGCCGUCUGUGGGAAACGAAGGAGAUCUUUUCAUCACCGGAGUUUUCACUUUCAAAACCCACUGAGAUCCACAAUGGCAAACCACCAAGAAAAUAACCUUAACGUCAUUCCAAAUAAUCUGAGCUCUGCCCAAGAGGGGCAAUGGUUCUUAUUUUCCAGUCCUACAACUCCAAACAACCAACCACCCAUUCCUUUUAACCCCUCGCCGAGCUUGGCCGGGAAUGUGCCCUCCACGAAAGAGAUUUUACUAUCUCAAAAGUUUUCAGAUCCACCCAUUGAGAUCCACAUAAGGUACGAAAGUUUGAGCAGAUAACCCAGCUGAAAAGAANNNNN
RNAcentral lists this long non-coding RNA (573 nucleotides) under Manihot esculenta (cassava). Its description in RNAcentral is "long non-coding RNA (MESC_LNC000156)". Lineage: Eukaryota; Viridiplantae; Streptophyta; Magnoliopsida; Malpighiales; Euphorbiaceae. The record is from RNAcentral.